UCUCCGUUGGUGAACCAGCGGAGGGAUCAUUACCGAGUUUACAACUCCCAAACCCCUAUGUGAACGUUACCAAACUGUUGCCUCGGCGGGAAAUUCAUGCCCCGGGCGCGUCUCAGCCCCGGACCAAGGCGCCCGCCGGAGGACCAACCAAAACUCUUUUGUAUGUCCCUCGCGGACUUUUAUAAUUCUGAACCAUCUCGGCGCCCCUAGCGGGCGUUUCGAAAAUGAAUCAAAACUUUCAACAACGGAUCUCUUGGUUCUG
RNAcentral lists this unclassified non-coding RNA (262 nucleotides) under plant metagenome. Its description in RNAcentral is "partial contains small subunit ribosomal RNA, internal transcribed spacer 1, and 5.8S ribosomal RNA". The record is from RNAcentral.